RNAcentral lists this ribosomal RNA (412 nucleotides) under uncultured bacterium. RNAcentral describes it as "bacterial SSU rRNA". It matches the Rfam family "Bacterial small subunit ribosomal RNA", at positions 505 to 916 of the family's 1533-position model. The record is from RNAcentral.
GUGCCAGCAGCCGCGGUAAUACAGAGGGUGCAAGCGUUGUUCGGAAUUAUUGGGCGUAAAGGGAGUGUAGGCGGCUUAUUAAGUCUCAUGUGAAAUCUUCGGGCUUAGCCUGGAACGUGCAUGGGAAACUGAUAGGCUGGAGUGUCAAAGAGGAGAGUGGAAUUCCCGGUGUAGAAGUGAAAUUCGUAGAGAUCGGGAGGAACACCAGUGGCGAAGGCGACUCUCUGGUUGACAACUGACGCUGAGACUCGAAAGCAUGGGGAGCAAACAGGAUUAGAUACCCUGGUAGUCCACGCCAUAAACGAUGAGAACUAGACGUUGAGAGGGUAAGCCUCCCAGUGUCGUAGCUAACGCGCUAAGUUCUCCGCCUGGGGAGUACGGCCGCAAGGUUGAAACUCAAAGGAAUUGACGG